GAUGAACGCUAGCGGGAGGCCUAACACAUGCAAGCCGAGCGGUAUUGUUUCUUCGGAAAUGAGAGAGCGGCGUACGGGUGCGUAACACGUGUGCAACCUGCCUUUACCUGGGGGAUAGCCUUUCGAAAGGAAGAUUAAUACUCCAUAAUAUAUUGAACGGCAUCGUUUAAUAUUGAAAGCUCCGGCGGAUAGAGAUGGGCACGCGCAAGAUUAGCUAGUUGGUGAGGUAACGGCUCACCAAGGCGAUGAUCUUUAGGGGGCCUGAGAGGGUGAUCCCCCACACUGGUACUGAGACACGGACCAGACUCCUACGGGAGGCAGCAGUGAGGAAUAUUGGUCAAUGGGUGCAAGCCUGAACCAGCCAUCCCGCGUGAAGGACGACUGCCCUAUGGGUUGUAAACUUCUUUUGUACAGGGAUAAACCUACCCUCGUGAGGGUAGCUGAAGGUACUAUACGAAUAAGCACCGGCUAACUCCGUGCCAGCAGCCGCCGUAA
RNAcentral lists this ribosomal RNA (495 nucleotides) under uncultured bacterium. RNAcentral describes it as "partial 16S ribosomal RNA". It matches the Rfam family "Bacterial small subunit ribosomal RNA", at positions 28 to 523 of the family's 1533-position model. The record is from RNAcentral.